Molecule: ribosomal RNA, 253 nt
Filed under: uncultured bacterium
Lineage: Bacteria
Description: partial 16S ribosomal RNA
Rfam family: Bacterial small subunit ribosomal RNA
Source: RNAcentral
UACAGAGGUGUCAAGCGUUGUUCGGAUUCAUUGGGCGUAAAGGGUGCGUAGGCGGUCGGGUAAGUCGGAUGUGAAAUCUCAGGGCUCAACCCUGAAACUGCAUUCGAUACUGCCUGGCUAGAGGACUGGAGAGGAGACUGGAAUUUACGGUGUAGCAGUGAAAUGCGUAGAUAUCGUAAGGAAGACCAGUGGCGAAGGCGGGUCUCUGGACAGUUACCGACGCUGAGGCACGAAGGUCAGGGGAGCAAACGGG